This 253-nucleotide ribosomal RNA is filed under the name uncultured bacterium. RNAcentral describes it as "partial 16S ribosomal RNA". It matches the Rfam family "Bacterial small subunit ribosomal RNA", at positions 524 to 776 of the family's 1533-position model. The record is from RNAcentral.
GACAGAGGGUGCAAACGUUGUUCGGAAUUACUGGGUGUAAAGCGAGUGUAGGCGGUUCGGUAAGUCGGAUGUGAAAGCCCCGGGCUCAACCCGGGAAGUGCACUCGAUACUGCCGAGCUAGAGUGUCGGAGAGGUUGGUGGAAUUCUCGGUGUAGAGGUGAAAUUCGUAGAUAUCGAGAGGAACACCGGUGGCGAAGGCGGCCAACUGGACGAACACUGACGCUGAGACUCGAAAGCGUGGGGAGCAAACAGG